AGAUUAUGAGAUUUGGUUGAUUAUGACCAAUGGAUCCUAAGAGGAUCCAUGUCCUAUACAAGGAAUCAUAUCCAACAUUUGACUCGAAUUAUAUAUGUAUAUAUUUUACAUCAGUAUUCGUGUGAGGAAUAUUUCUUAGUUUAAUUAUGAAACCAUAAAUUUAUACAUCAACAUGUUAAGUCGCUGGUAAUAGAUUUAAAAACUAAAAUUUUAAGUAUUUUUAAGAACGAAUAUUAUACGCGUAACUUACAACAUAAGAAAAGUAAAUUGAUAUAAAUAAAUUAGUUACUCAAUUUAUAACGUUGAUUAUACGUAUCAAUGUAAACCUUAACUAUUAUCUAUUUAAAUAUUAGUAGUUAACAAUCAUUUUCAACAGUCCAACAGGAGCUAAUGUCUUAUUCUAAUCCAAACCCACAAACUUUAUUUGUAUGGCUGACAUAGAUAUAAAUAAUGCAUUGAUUUGAUAUUGAAGUGAUGGUAAUGUUGUAAAGGAUUAGCUAAGAUAUGACAAGGUGAUGGCAACAUGAGCCUUUUUGACAUGAACAAUAGCAUACAGGUAUUCUACUGGCUGCCCAUUUGUGAGCAAUGGAAAUUGAUCAUUUCUAGAUUCCUUCCAUCAAAUUCAUCAAUCUAUCAAUUUAGAUUUUUGAAAUUUGAUCAAACGGUUAAAAACAUGGAUCUCUUUGAAAAGUUAUAAUAACUUUAGUCAUUUGAUCAAAUUUCAAGGACCCGAAUUGGUGGAUUUAGGCCAUCUCCAA
Molecule: long non-coding RNA, 758 nt
Filed under: Malus domestica (apple)
Lineage: Eukaryota; Viridiplantae; Streptophyta; Magnoliopsida; Rosales; Rosaceae
Description: long non-coding RNA (MDOM_LNC011932)
Source: RNAcentral